GAUGAACGCUAGCGGCAGGCCUAACACAUGCAAGUCGAGGGAGAGGUUAUCUUCGGGUAACCAAAACCGGCGCACGGGUGCGUAACGCGUAUACAAUCUGCCUUUCACAUAGGGAUAGCCCGAAGAAAUUUGGAUUAAUACCUAAUGGUAUAUAAGAGCGGCAUCGUUUUUAUAUUAAAGCUACGGUGGUGAAAGAUGAGUAUGCGUUCUAUUAGCUAGUUGGAGAGGUAACGGCUCCCCAAGGCGACGAUAGAUAGGGGUUCUGAGAGGGAUGUCCCCCACACUGGUACUGAGAUACGGACCAGACUCCUACGGGAGGCAGCAGUGAGGAAUAUUGGACAAUGGUCGGAAGACUGAUCCAGCCAUGCCGCGUGCAGGAUGAAGGUCCUAUGGAUUGUAAACUGCUUUUGUAAGGGAAGAAUAAGGAGUACGUGUACUUUGAUGACGGUACCUUACGAAUAAGCAUCGGCUAACUCCGUGCCAGCAGCCGCGGUAAUACGGAGGAUGCGAGCGUUAUCCGGAAUCAUUGGGUUUAAAGGGUCCGUAGGCGGGCUGAUAAGUCAGAGGUGAAAGCGCUUAGCUCAACUAAGCAACUGCCUUUGAAACUGUCAGUCUUGAAUGAUUGUGAAGUAGUUGGAAUGUGUAGUGUAGCGGUGAAAUGCUUAGAUAUUACACAGAACACCGAUAGCGAAGGCAUAUUACUAACAACUUAUUGACGCUGGUGGACGAAAGCGUGGGGAGCGAACAGG
Molecule: ribosomal RNA, 749 nt
Filed under: uncultured Capnocytophaga sp.
Lineage: Bacteria; Pseudomonadati; Bacteroidota; Flavobacteriia; Flavobacteriales; Flavobacteriaceae
Description: bacterial SSU rRNA
Rfam family: Bacterial small subunit ribosomal RNA
Source: RNAcentral